This 226-nucleotide ribosomal RNA is filed under the name uncultured bacterium. RNAcentral's name for it is "partial 16S ribosomal RNA". It matches the Rfam family "Bacterial small subunit ribosomal RNA", at positions 109 to 334 of the family's 1533-position model. The record is from RNAcentral.
AGUAACGCGUGGAUAACCUGCCUCACACUGGGGGAUAACAGUUAGAAAUGACUGCUAAUACCGCAUAAGCGCACAGUACCGCAUGGUACAGUGGGAAAAACUCCGGUGGUGUGAGAUGGAUCCGCGUCUGAUUAGCCAGUUGGCGGGGUAACGGCCCACCCAAAGCGACGAUCAGUAGCCGACCUGAGAGGGUGACCGGCCACAUUGGGACUGAGACACGGCCCAA